AGAGUUUGAUCAUGGCUCAGGACGAACGCUGGCGGCGUGCUUAACACAUGCAAGUCGAACGGAAAGGCCCUGCUUUGUGGGGUGCUCGAGUGGCGAACGGGGUGAGUAACACGUGAGUAACCUGCCCUUGACUUUGGGAUAACUUCAGGAAACUGGGGCUAAUACCGGAUAGGAGCUCCUGCUGCAUGGUGGGGGUUGGAAAGUUUCGGCGGUUGGGGAUGGACUCGCGGCUUAUCAGCUUGUUGUGGGGUAGUGGCUUACCAAGGGCUUUGACGGGUAGCCGGCCUGAGAGGGUGACCGGCCACAUUGGGACUGAGAUACGGCCCAGACUCCUACGGGAGGCAGCAGUGGGGAAUAUUGCACAAUGGGCGGAAGCCUGAUGCAGCAGCGCCGCGUGCGGGAUGACGGCCUUCGGGUUGUAAACCGCUUUCGCCUGUGACGAGGCGUGAGUGACGGUAAUGGGUAAAGAAGCACCGGCUAACUACGUG
RNAcentral lists this ribosomal RNA (488 nucleotides) under uncultured bacterium. RNAcentral's name for it is "bacterial SSU rRNA". It matches the Rfam family "Bacterial small subunit ribosomal RNA", at positions 8 to 507 of the family's 1533-position model. The record is from RNAcentral.